This 1060-nucleotide ribosomal RNA is filed under the name Salmonella enterica. RNAcentral's name for it is "partial 23S ribosomal RNA". It matches the Rfam family "Bacterial large subunit ribosomal RNA", at positions 566 to 1544 of the family's 2925-position model. The record is from RNAcentral. Lineage: Bacteria; Pseudomonadati; Pseudomonadota; Gammaproteobacteria; Enterobacterales; Enterobacteriaceae.
CACCACCAAAGCAUUCUCUGGUGUUGAAGGCCCUGCAAAGCAGCAUCGCGGUGGCGGAGCGUCGUUUGCGACGCCCAACACACAAAACAAGCGGUGAGUGCUUUGGGGUGGGGUGACUGCGUACCUUUUGUAUAAUGGGUCAGCGACUUAUAUUCUGUAGCAAGGUUAACCGUAUAGGGGAGCCGAAGGGAAACCGAGUCUUAACUGGGCGUUAAGUUGCAGGGUAUAGACCCGAAACCCGGUGAUCUAGCCAUGGGCAGGUUGAAGGUUGGGUAACACUAACUGGAGGACCGAACCGACUAAUGUUGAAAAAUUAGCGGAUGACUUGUGGCUGGGGGUGAAAGGCCAAUCAAACCGGGAGAUAGCUGGUUCUCCCCGAAAGCUAUUUAGGUAGCGCCUCGUGAACUCAUCUUCGGGGGUAGAGCACUGUUUCGGCUAGGGGGUCAUCCCGACUUACCAACCCGAUGCAAACUGCGAAUACCGAAGAAUGUUAUCACGGGAGACACACGGCGGGUGCUAACGUCCGUCGUGAAGAGGGAAACAACCCAGACCGCCAGCUAAGGUCCCAAAGUCACAGUUAAGUGGGAAACGAUGUGGGAAGGCUCAGACAGCCAGGAUGUUGGCUUAGAAGCAGCCAUCAUUUAAAGAAAGCGUAAUAGCUCACUGGUCGAGUCGGCCUGCGCGGAAGAUGUAACGGGGCUAAACUGUGCACCGAAGCUGCGGCAGCGACGCUUAUGCGUUGUUGGGUAGGGGAGCGUUCUGUAAGCCUGCGAAGGUGUCCUGUGAGGGAUGCUGGAGGUAUCAGAAGUGCGAAUGCUGACAUAAGUAACGAUAAUGCGGGUGAAAAGCCCGCUCGCCGGAAGACCAAGGGUUCCUGUCCAACGUUAAUCGGGGCAGGGUGAGUCGACCCCUAAGGCGAGGCCGAAAGGCGUAGUCGAUGGGAAACGGGUUAAUAUUCCCGUACUUGGUGUUACUGCGAAGGGGGGACGGAGAAGGCUAUGUUGGCCGGGCGACGGUUGUCCCGGUUUAAGCGUGUAGGCUGGUUUUCCAGGCAAAUCCG